Molecule: ribosomal RNA, 649 nt
Filed under: uncultured archaeon
Lineage: Archaea
Description: bacterial SSU rRNA
Rfam family: Archaeal small subunit ribosomal RNA
Source: RNAcentral
AAGCGUCCGUAGCCUGUUCUAUAAGUUUCCGGUUAAAUCCAUUAGCUCAACUAAUGGGCUGCCGAAAAUACUGUAGAACUAGGGAGUGGGAGAGGUAGACGGUAUUCAGUAGGAAGGGGUAAAAUCCUUUGAUCUAUUGAGGACCACCUGUGGCGAAGGCGGUCUACCAGAACACGUUCGACGGUGAGGGAUGAAAGCUGGGGGAGCAAACCGGAUUAGAUACCCGGGUAGUCCCAGCUGUAAACGAUGCAGACUCGGUGAUGCCCUGGCUUGUGGCCAGUGCAGUGCCGCAGGGAAGCCGUUAAGUUUGCCGCCUGGGAAGUACGUACGCAAGUAUGAAACUUAAAGGAAUUGGCGGGGGAGCACCACAAGGGGUGAAGCCUGCGGUUCAAUUGGAGUCAACGCCAGAAAUCUUACCCGAAGAGACAGCAGAAUGAAGGUCAAGCUGGAGACUUUACCAGACAAGCUGAGAAGUGGUGCAUGGCCGUCGCCAGCUCGUGCCGUGAGAUGUCCUGUUAAGUCAGGUAACGAGCGAGAUCCCUGCCUCUAGUUGCCACCAUUACUCUCAGGAGUAGUGGGGCGAAUUAGCGGGACCGCCGCAGUUAAUGCGGAGGAAGGAAGGGGCCACGGCAGGUCAGUAUGCCCCGAA